UGGAGGACAGAGAAGGUGAGGCAGUUGUGUACCGUGCUGCCUUCUACUGGUUAUUGCCUCCUACAGUAAAAUGAUGCUGGAAACGUUUGCCUUCCUCCAAUGCAUAGAAGGGAAUGGGCAGUGUUUCUCUUGCAGACAGUAU
RNAcentral lists this small nucleolar RNA (142 nucleotides) under Phascolarctos cinereus (koala). Its description in RNAcentral is "Small nucleolar RNA SNORA47 (ENSPCIG00000002154.2)". It matches the Rfam family "Small nucleolar RNA SNORA47". Lineage: Eukaryota; Metazoa; Chordata; Mammalia; Diprotodontia; Phascolarctidae. The record is from Rfam by way of RNAcentral.